This 4038-nucleotide long non-coding RNA is filed under the name Pelobates cultripes (western spadefoot toad). Lineage: Eukaryota; Metazoa; Chordata; Amphibia; Anura; Pelobatidae. The record is from RNAcentral.
GUUGAGUUUAUCAUAGAAAUCAGUUAUUAUUUACACCAAGAGUCAUCAUAUUGACAUUUUAUUAAAGAUAAAAGAUUGUGUGCAUUACAAAUAUCUGAGGAUAGUGGACAAGCUUAUUCCAUUUGGUAAUGCAGUGGUUGACUCAACAUGCAGUCCGUUCGUAAUGGUAAAUCAUCAUUGCACCAAGUUAACAACAGUUUACAGUAUGUACAACACAUCUAUUUACAAUACAGCAAAUACAUUUUAUAUAAUGAAUGUAGAAAUACAUUGACAAGUUAUAUUUACAGAUAUCUCCAGUAAAAAGUGGAUACCAGAUUAUGACUUUUGUUCUUCCCAUGCUGUCAUUGUGCUGAUAGCUAAAUAGGUCUGCAUCAGGCUGGCAAAUAUAACACCUGGGGCGCCAAGGUUAACAUCUAUAUAACACAAUUUAAAUAUCUCAUUUUACCAUGGAGGGAUAAAUAGAGGAGGUGGCUGAUUCAUCAAAAUGAAUUGCUCUAAAUCUCAUUAUUUUCUAAUUAUACCCAUGAGCACUGGUGUUGUCCAAAGAAAAGAAGGACGAAACCAUUGUGUAUACAACAAACCAAUAAUAAUGCAUUGUUUAGCUUUGGGCCUUAUAUGUACAGGAAUGUGUUCAAAGCUAAAAUCAUUAAAGUUGAUUUUCCAGGACAAAUACAAAGGCCAACAAUGAAGAGUAUCAACAUAUUCAAAUAUUUAAUCAAUAAAAUUCAAAUAAUUACACACAUAUGCAUGGAAAUUGUGCACCGAUGCAGUGAAACCCCUGAGAAUCAAUGCUACAUUACCAUGUCUGAUAAUUAAUUGACUUCCCUUGAAUUACAAAAUAGUCCUGUUAUAACCAAUAAAAAUAAUAAGAUCCAUAGAGUAUAAUGUACAGUGCUACGUCAUAUCUUCAUGAAAACUCUUUACAACGUGCCAUAGUUUGGGCAUCAUCACAACAAAUGUUCUGGUUUCAAAUCUUAUAUUCUGCAUCUACCUAUUCACAUUAGGAGAUCAAUAAACAUGAAUUAGCUAACAUGUAUUAGUGGUAUAAAGACAAGAAUAACAUGUCUAAAACCUUAAUGCAGUUGGCUUAGAGAAAGCGAACUUAAGCAACCAAAAUGUAAGUCAAAACAGAUCCAAGUUGGUUAUUUUUGUCUGGAAGUUCUAAACUAAUUUUAAUUUACUGUUUCAUGCAUACGCUCCAAAGAUAAUUAAAUUUAACUGCACCAAUGGGAGAGGAAAAUGAAACCAUAUUUUAAGUCUUUUUAAUUUUUUACAAUAGCUUCUAUCAUAAAUUGGAUUAUAAGAAUUUUGAUUGUUAGAUAACGUUAUAGUAUCAAUGAGUUGGAGGUCCUAUCUUUUGCUUUUAGUGUAAUAUAUUUGUCAGAGGUCACAGCCCCAAUGUUUAAGAAUGAUAUAGUAUUAUGUUAAGGUGUUAUGUUAAGAUUGUGAAUUUCUGAUCUUGCAUGGAUUUUAUUUUUUGAAGACUUCACCCCCUUUCUGGAACUCCCCUUUUGUCCCACCCGUCCCAUCCCUCUUUAUAGGAGGAGAGUAUUGGGAGGUAUGUAUUAUUAAUGCAAAUAAAACCUAACCUUAAGUUUACAGUAAAACAUUUAACAGUACUAUGUAUCUGGCUUUUCCCCUACAAGUUAGUGCUUUUGGAUAAAUUAAAAAAGAACAAUUCCCCAAAACUGCAAACACUGAAACAUAUUUUAAAAAUAGCAUUAUUUCUAAAAAAAAAUUCUUUCAUUUUGAAGGAUAAAAUAUAAUUUUUUUAAAGUACAAGAGUUUUUUUUUCAAUAAUAAAGGCUCUUAAAUAAAGGAUACAAAUUAUGCUUUUGUAUUUGAUUUUGUACAUCUGAUUUUGUAUAAAUAUGCAAUACUAAAUAGUUAUUUAUUUAUGUAUGUGAUAUGUGUGUAUAUUGCUUAUUGGUAUAAACCUGUUGAUACACAUAGGGGUAUUUACUAAGGUGUGGAAUGCAAUUGACGUGGAGACUUUUUCAAAUUCAGAUAUUUUGGAGUAAAAUUUAAAGUUCACUUUAAAUUCCCAGGCUAGUUCAGUGGUUUCCCAAUCCAGUCCUCACGGCACCCGAACCAGUCUAGGAUUUAGUGAUUACAUAAUUGUGUCUAAGGUGUUUGUAGAAAACCAAAACCACCUUAGACACAACUGGGUAAGCCCUAAAUCCUGGACUGGUUGGGAUGUCUUGAGGACUCGUUUGAGAACCACUGUAAAAUUAGGGGAUGAAUUUGUAUGAUAUAUUGAAAUUCAAAACACAUUUCUCAAAUUUAAAAUUUUAACGUGCAGAGUUACUGUCAUCACAUAUAUUGACAGUCGAUAUAUCAUAACUAUAAAUGUCUAAUUUUUCAUAAACAAAACUCUAAAUAUUUUUUGAGAAACAUGGCACAUCUGGCAUUUAUGUAAAUAAACUUGAAAUAGAACUUGAAAUCUUGAUGCAAUAGAUUGAAAACUGCCAUAAAAGUGGCAUUUUUGUGUAUAAAAUAUAUAGAAAUCGAUUGCUUUUAUUGGUGCAUUGGGACAAGUCCUUUCUUGAAAAUUAUGACUUUUCCCUAUGCACCAAUAAAACCAAUUGAUUUCUGUAUAUUUUAUACACAAAUACACCACUUUUAUGGCAGUUUUCAAUCUAUUGCAUCAAGAUUUCAAGUUCUAUUUAUACUACAGAUUUUGAAAUUAUGGAUUAGAUGAAUUUAACAAUUGCAGUAGAAUUUUGAUUGUGAAAUUAGUAAUUUUAGCCAAUUUAAACCUCAGCAUUUUGUAUAAUGUCAACAACAAAUGUAUUGAUCUACAGGUAAGAGGAGAUGGGACUUUUGUCUUAGAAGUUAAAUACAGUGGGACCUCAGAACUCGGGUCCCUCACCCGAACAAUUCUGUAUUGGAACAAACAUUUUGAGAAAAAAAUGUCUUGGUACAUGAACGAUCCUUAGUACACGAACAAAUCAUGCCACUAAGAUGUUAAAUUAUAACAUGUCAUAUGUCAUACUUUAGUCACAUUUUAAAUGCCAGAAGAACAGUUACCUAUCCCCAUCCAAACAAUAAUAUUUUUUCUCCUUUCCACUUACGCCAUCAACUCUCAUGAUUACAGGUAAAGUGAAGUUACAUUUUCAUUUCAUGUACAGUACAUUGUGUUUAUUAAUUUUUUUCUUUAUGAUUUUAUGCAUGUAAGGUAUUAUUAAACUGUAAAAUUUGUGUUAAAAUUCUAUAAUUUUGGGGGUCUGGAACAAAUUAAUCAAAUUUACAUUAAUUCUCAUGGGAAAUGUUGAUUCGGUUCUUGAACAAAUCUGAACUCGAACACCGUUCUGGAAUGGAUUAAGUUUGAGUUUUGAGGUUGAUAUUAAUAUCCACUGGAUAUUAAAUAGUAUCUUUUAACUUUCCUGAAAUCCAAUGUGAAGGUGAGCAGUUUGGUAGGCAAUCCGCAUUUCUAAUUAGGCAAGUAAAACAUACCCUAACUAAAUUAAUGUGAAUGUUGGAAGAUAAUAUAUUUUUCCAGCUUAUCCAAUUUUAUUUUAAACACAUCAAUCCGUUAUAAGAAUAAUUGGUGCAGAACCACCUCCUACAUUUAACACAUUUAAUAAUUAUGUAUUUAUUAAUACAGCUCUUACAGAUCUUAAUACUCAAUAGAUCUAGAUUUAUAUUUCAUCAACCUCUACGCUCCGAGAUGUUCUAGGAGAGAAACUGUCACCUUCAUACCUCCUUCAUCUAUGACUCGCUAAACUAUUAUUUAACAACAUGCCGCUUAUUUAAGAGAACCCCAUACAUUUUUUUACUUUAAUAUAUAAAGUCCCUAAUCGGCAAUGUACUCUGAAAUUGAUCAAUGACAGCUAUACUGUUCUAUGAUAAAAUAACAGACUGUUCAAUUAUUUAAACAUAAAAUCUGUUAACUAAAUAGUAUUAUGAUGUUUAAAAAAAAAAAAAAAAUAUAUAUAUAUAUAUAUACAAAUAUAUAUAUACACAAUUCGAUGGGAGUUUUGCACUCCAGCUCUCCUUUGAGUUUUGGCCUGGUGCUCAGCUGCUCAUAAAUAUAAC